Molecule: ribosomal RNA, 585 nt
Filed under: uncultured bacterium
Lineage: Bacteria
Description: partial 16S ribosomal RNA
Rfam family: Bacterial small subunit ribosomal RNA
Source: RNAcentral
UGGGGAAUUUUGGACAAUGGGCGAAAGCCUGAUCCAGCAAUGCCGCGUGUGUGAAGAAGGCCUUCGGGUUGUAAAGCACUUUUGUCCGGAAAGAAAUCCUUGGCUCUAAUACAGUCGGGGGAUGACGGUACCGGAAGAAUAAGCACCGGCUAACUACGUGCCAGCAGCCGCGGUAAUACGUAGGGUGCAAGCGUUAAUCGGAAUUACUGGGCGUAAAGCGUGCGCAGGCGGUUUGCUAAGACCGAUGUGAAAUCCCCGGGCUCAACCUGGGAACUGCAUUGGUGACUGGUAGGCUAGAGUAUGGCAGAGGGGGGUAGAAUUCCACGUGUAGCAGUGAAAUGCGUAGAGAUGUGGAGGAAUACCGAUGGCGAAGGCAGCCCCCUGGGCCAAUACUGACGCUCAUGCACGAAAGCGUGGGGAGCAAACAGGAUUAGAUACCCUGGUAGUCCACGCCCUAAACGAUGUCAACUAGUUGUUGGGGAUUCAUUUCCUUAGUAACGUAGCUAACGCGUGAAGUUGACCGCCUGGGGAGUACGGUCGCAAGAUUAAAACUUAAAGGAAUUGACGGGGUCAUAGCUGUUUCCU